Molecule: transfer RNA, 86 nt
Filed under: Felis catus (domestic cat)
Lineage: Eukaryota; Metazoa; Chordata; Mammalia; Carnivora; Felidae
Rfam family: tRNA
About the family: Transfer RNA (tRNA) molecules are approximately 80 nucleotides in length. Their secondary structure includes four short double-helical elements and three loops (D, anti-codon, and T loops).
Source: Rfam by way of RNAcentral
GCCUGGGUGGCUCAGUCGGUUGAGCAUCUGACUUCAGCUCAGGUCAUGAUCUCAUAGUCCGUGGGUUCCAGCCCCACGUCGGGGCU